GUCCUUUUAUAGUUCAUGAUGAGCACGAUGACUGGGUGUUCAUACGCACGUGUGAAAUGUGCCACCCUCAAACCUUGUUACAAUAUUGGCAUAUUACCCAUGUGACA
This 107-nucleotide small nucleolar RNA is filed under the name Chlorocebus sabaeus (green monkey). RNAcentral's name for it is "Small nucleolar RNA U13". It matches the Rfam family "Small nucleolar RNA U13". Lineage: Eukaryota; Metazoa; Chordata; Mammalia; Primates; Cercopithecidae. The record is from Rfam by way of RNAcentral.